RNAcentral lists this RNase P RNA (356 nucleotides) under Aeromonadales bacterium. RNAcentral's name for it is "RNase P RNA component class A". It matches the Rfam family "Bacterial RNase P class A". Rfam says of the family: Ribonuclease P (RNase P) is a ubiquitous endoribonuclease, found in archaea, bacteria and eukarya as well as chloroplasts and mitochondria. Lineage: Bacteria; Pseudomonadati; Pseudomonadota; Gammaproteobacteria; Aeromonadales. The record is from RNAcentral.
GGAGUUGGCCGAGCAGUCGCUGCCCAGUUAAUGGGGAGAGGAAAGUCCGGACUUCAAAGGGCAGGGUGCCAGGUAACGCCUGGGAGACGUGAGUCUAUGGAAAGUGCCGCAGAAAAUAUACCGCCUCGUCAUUUAUUUCGGUAAUUGGUGAGGUAAGGGUGAAAUGGUGCGGUAAGAGCGCACCGCGCUGAUGGUAACAUCAGUGGCAGGGUAAACCCCACCUGAAGCAAGACCAAAUAGGGAUCCUGAGUCGUGGCCCGCGAUGGAUCCGGGUAGGUCGCUCGAGUAUUAUGGUGACGUAAUGCCUAGAUGAAUGACUGUUCCAGACAGAAUCCGGCUUAUGGCCAACUCCAUUU